UGAUCUGUAAUGCCUUGAAUC
This 21-nucleotide non-coding RNA is filed under the name Arabidopsis thaliana (thale cress). The record is from RNAcentral. Lineage: Eukaryota; Viridiplantae; Streptophyta; Magnoliopsida; Brassicales; Brassicaceae.